UGCUAACACUCCUGUCUCAGCCUUUCAAGUAUCUGGCAUUGUCACCAGGAGGGGGUUCCAUUGUUCCUAGGUGGAGGGCGAAAGAGUUUUCGAAAAGAGGACAUGGAGGCUUCAAUUUAUGCUAAAAAAACAUUUCUCGAUCCCUGGUACCAAUAAAAAGGAAAAAGACAAAAAAACAAAAAACUAUUGUUUGAGAGACAGACACCAGCUUCUCCCUGUGAGUCAGAGCCAUUUGCAGAUCAGGAAAAGACAGAAUAAAGCCAUACCAGCAAGCAAGCCCAGUCUGGGAAUCUGCGCCAUGCAUGGGCCACCACUGGACUGGAACAGACAGACCCCAUUCCCUUCUGGUGUACGGGCUGGCAAACAAGAAGUACCAACACCCGCUACUCCCCGGCCAUAAGCGGUAGGCUUAUCUGGAGAAACACACGCUGUGAUGAUAGCUAUAGAGGUGAAAUGCAAUUGGAUGUCUGUGGUGCUUUGGUGUUUCACUGACAUUGCAGGUCAAGGGCCAGUGGUUUGAUCACAUGUUUAGAGGAUAGCAAUGCGCAGUGUGACAUCUAGGGGGGGAUCCCCUUCUGAGGGUUGCAGCCAUUGUUGAUUACCUAUGGUCUUGUUUUGGAAGUCCUAUAUCAUUUCCAUUGUUUUUUGGGUAGAUUUUAUUCUUUUUUUUGAGUAUGUCAAAUUGGAUGGCAGGGGCUGCUAUUUCAAAGAUAACAAGAU
Molecule: long non-coding RNA, 720 nt
Filed under: Cavia porcellus (domestic guinea pig)
Lineage: Eukaryota; Metazoa; Chordata; Mammalia; Rodentia; Caviidae
Description: lncRNA (ENSCPOG00000037372.1)
Source: RNAcentral